RNAcentral lists this ribosomal RNA (644 nucleotides) under Pristimantis sp. QCAZ 58855. RNAcentral's name for it is "partial large subunit ribosomal RNA". The stretch from base 406 to 644 matches the Rfam family "Archaeal large subunit ribosomal RNA", at positions 1787 to 2135 of the family's 2987-position model. The record is from RNAcentral. Lineage: Eukaryota; Metazoa; Chordata; Amphibia; Anura; Strabomantidae.
ACCUAAAGCAACACUAAUUCACAUAAAUUAGCCCCCCCACUUUAGAGCAACUCAAAUGAGGUACAGCCCAUUUGACACAGAAUACAACCUUAACUAACGGGUAACAUCCAUACAGCAACUUCAAGUAGACCUAAGAGCAGCCACCUUUUGAAAAGCGUCAAAGCUUAAUCAUGCCCCCACCAAUUUUAAACCUUCCAUUGACCCCUUUAACUGUAUUGAGAAUUUCUAUAUUAUAUAGAACCUUUUAUGCUAAAACUAGUAACAAGAGAACACCCUCUCUUCAAUGCAACCAUAAGCCAGCAAGAACCCAUCACUGGCAACUAACAGACCUAAACUAAAAUAGCAACCCCCACUAGAAAAUCCUACUUAUUUUAACUGUUAACCUGACACCAGAGCAUUUCAAGAAGAUUAAAAGAAAAAGAAGGAACUCGGCAAACGAUAGUCCCGCCUGUUUACCAAAAACACCGCCUCUUGUUUUCAUAAGAGGUCCAGCCUGCCCAGUGACUCUGUUCAACGGCCGCGGUAUCCUAACCGUGCAAAGGUAGCGUAAUCACUUGUUUUCUAAAUAAAGACCAGUAUGAAAGGCAUCACGAGGACAAAACUGUCUCCUUUUUCUAAUCAGUGAACCUAAUCUCCCCGUGAAG